UUACGCUGUUAUCCCUAAGGUAAUUUAAUCUUAUAAUCAACAAAAUUGGAUCAACCACUCAUAAAUAAAUGUAUAUAAAAAAAGAAGAGUUAAUUAAAUCUUCCCAUCACCCCAACAAAAUAUAUUAAAUAUUUAAAAAUAAAAAUCAAACAAAAUAAAUAAAUAAUAUAUAUAAACUCUAUAGGGUCUUCUCGUCCCAUAAAUAAAUUUAAGCUUUUUAACUUAAAAAUUAAAUUCAAUAAAAAUAAUAAGAAACAGUCUAUUCCUCGUCCAACCAUUCAUUCCAGUCCACAAUUAAAAGACUAAUGAUUAUGCUACCUUUGCACGGUCAAAAUACCGCGGCCCUUCAAUCAACUUCAGUGGGCAGGUCAUAUUUCAUAUCAAAUACAGAAAGAUGUUUUUGUUAAACAGGCG
Molecule: ribosomal RNA, 414 nt
Filed under: Periplaneta lateralis (Turkestan cockroach)
Lineage: Eukaryota; Metazoa; Arthropoda; Insecta; Blattodea; Blattidae
Description: Shelfordella lateralis (Turkestan cockroach) partial 16S ribosomal RNA
Source: RNAcentral